RNAcentral lists this ribosomal RNA (1346 nucleotides) under uncultured bacterium. RNAcentral describes it as "bacterial SSU rRNA". It matches the Rfam family "Bacterial small subunit ribosomal RNA", at positions 28 to 1381 of the family's 1533-position model. The record is from RNAcentral.
GACGAACGCUGGCGGCGUGCUUAACACAUGCAAGUCGAACGGAAAGGCCCUGCUUUUGUGGGGUGCUCGAGUGGCGAACGGGUGAGUAACACGUGAGUAACCUGCCCUUGACUUUGGGAUAACUUCAGGAAACUGGGGCUAAUACCGGAUAGGAGCUCCUGCUGCAUGGUGGGGGUUGGAAAGUUUCGGCGGUUGGGGAUGGACUCGCGGCUUAUCAGCUUGUUGGUGGGGUAGUGGCUUACCAAGGCUUUGACGGGUAGCCGGCCUGAGAGGGUGACCGGCCACAUUGGGACUGAGAUACGGCCCAGACUCCCACGGGAGGCAGCAGUGGGGAAUAUUGCACAAUGGGCGGAAGCCUGAUGCAGCAACGCCGCGUGCGGGAUGACGGCCUUCGGGUUGUAAACCGCUUUCGCCUGUGACGAAGCGUGAGUGACGGUAAUGGGUAAAGAAGCACCGGCUAACUACGUGCCAGCAGCCGCGGUGAUACGUAGGGUGCGAGCGUUGUCCGGAUUUAUUGGGCGUAAAGGGCUCGUAGGUGGUUGAUCGCGUCGGAAGUGUAAUCUUGGGGCUUAACCCUGAGCGUGCUUUCGAUACGGGUUGACUUGAGGAAGGUAGGGGAGAAUGGAAUUCCUGGUGGAGCGGUGGAAUGCGCAGAUAUCAGGAGGAACACCAGUGGCGAAGGCGGUUCUCUGGGCCUUUCCUGACGCUGAGGAGCGAAAGCGUGGGGAGCGAACAGGCUUAGAUACCCUGGUAGUCCACGCUGUAAACGGUGGGUACUAGGUGUGGGGUCCAUUCCACGGGUUCCGUGCCGUAGCUAACGCUUUAAGUACCCCGCCUGGGGAGUACGGCCGCAAGGCUAAAACUCAAAGGAAUUGACGGGGCCCCGCACAAGCGGCGGAGCAUGCGGAUUAAUUCGAUGCAACGCGUAGAACCUUACCUGGGUUUGACAUGGAUCGGGAGUGCUCAGAGAUGGGUGUGCCUCUUUUGGGGUCGGUUCACAGGUGGUGCAUGCCUGUCGUCAGCUCGUGUCGUGAGAUGUUGGGUUAAGUCCCGCAACGAGCGCAACCCUUGUUCACUGUUGCCAGCACGUUAUGGUGGGGACUCAGUGGAGACCGCCGGGGUCAACUCGGAGGAAGGUGGGGAUGACGUCAAGUCCUCAUGCCCCUUAUGUCCAGGGCUUCACGCAUGCUACAAUGGCUGGUACAGAGAGUGGCGAGCCUGUGAGGGUGAGCGAAUCUCGGAAAGCCGGUCUCAGUUCGGAUUGGGGUCUGCAACUCGACCUCAUGAAGUCGGAGUCGCUAGUAAUCGCAGAUCAGCAACGCUGCGGUGAGUACGUUCCCGGGGCU